This 497-nucleotide ribosomal RNA is filed under the name uncultured bacterium. RNAcentral's name for it is "partial 16S ribosomal RNA". It matches the Rfam family "Bacterial small subunit ribosomal RNA", at positions 28 to 507 of the family's 1533-position model. The record is from RNAcentral.
GAUGAACGCUGGCGGCGUGCCUAAUACAUGCAAGUCGAGCGGACAGACGAGGAGCUUGCUCCUCUGACGUUAGCGGCGGACGGGUGAGUAACACGUGGAUAACCUACCUAUAAGACUGGGAUAACUUCGGGAAACCGGAGCUAAUACCGGAUAAUAUAUUGAACCGCAUGGUUCAAUAGUGAAAGACGGUUUUGCUGUCACUUAUAGAUGGAUCCGCGCCGCAUUAGCUAGUUGGUAAGGUAACGGCUUACCAAGGCGACGAUGCGUAGCCGACCUGAGAGGGUGAUCGGCCACACUGGAACUGAGACACGGUCCAGACUCCUACGGGAGGCAGCAGUAGGGAAUCGGCCGCAAUGGGCGAAAGCCUGACGGAGCAACGCCGCGUGAGUGAUGAAGGUCUUCGGAUCGUAAAACUCUGUUAUUAGGGAAGAACAAAUGUGUAAGUAACUAUGCACGUCUUGACGGUACCUAAUCAGAAAGCCACGGCUAACUACGUG